This 303-nucleotide ribosomal RNA is filed under the name uncultured Sphingomonas sp. RNAcentral describes it as "bacterial SSU rRNA". It matches the Rfam family "Bacterial small subunit ribosomal RNA", at positions 108 to 428 of the family's 1533-position model. The record is from RNAcentral. Lineage: Bacteria; Pseudomonadati; Pseudomonadota; Alphaproteobacteria; Sphingomonadales; Sphingomonadaceae.
GCGUAACGCGUGGGAAUCUGCCCUUGGGUACGGAAUAACAGAGAGAAAUUUCUGCUAAUACCGUAUGAUGUCGCAAGACCAAAGAUUUAUCGCCCAAGGAUGAGCCCGCGUAGGAUUAGCUAGUUGGUGGGGUAAUGGCCCACCAAGGCGACGAUCCUUAGCUGGUCUGAGAGGAUGAUCAGCCACACUGGGACUGAGACACGGCCCAGACUCCUACGGGAGGCAGCAGUGGGGAAUAUUGGACAAUGGGCGAAAGCCUGAUCCAGCAAUGCCGCGUGAGUGAUGAAGGCCUUAGGGUUGUAA